AUUGAACGCUGGCGGCAUGCUUUACACAUGCAAGUCGAGCGGCAGCGCGGGGGCAACCCUGGCGGCGAGCGGCGAACGGGUGAGUAAUGCAUCGGAACGUAUCCCGGAGUGGGGGAUAACCUAUCGAAAGGUGGGCUAAUACCGCAUGAGCUCUGAGGAGGAAAGCGGGGGGACCGAAAGGCCUCGCGCUGUGGGAGCGGCCGAUGUCCGAUUAGCUAGUUGGUGGGGUAAAGGCCUACCAAGGCGACGAUCGGUAGCUGGUCUGAGAGGAUGAUCAGCCACACUGGGACUGAGACACGGCCCAGACUCCUACGGGAGGCAGCAGUGGGGAAUUUUGGACAAUGGGGGCAACCCUGAUCCAGCCAUGCCGCGUGAGUGAAGAAGGCCUUCGGUGUAAGCUCUUUCGGACGGAACGAAAUCGCUCGGUGAAUAAUCCGGGUGGAGUGACGGUACUGUAAGAAGAAGCACCGGCGUAACUAACGUGCCAGCAGCCGC
RNAcentral lists this ribosomal RNA (495 nucleotides) under uncultured bacterium. RNAcentral's name for it is "bacterial SSU rRNA". It matches the Rfam family "Bacterial small subunit ribosomal RNA", at positions 29 to 518 of the family's 1533-position model. The record is from RNAcentral.